Molecule: long non-coding RNA, 979 nt
Filed under: Monodelphis domestica (gray short-tailed opossum)
Lineage: Eukaryota; Metazoa; Chordata; Mammalia; Didelphimorphia; Didelphidae
Description: lncRNA (ENSMODG00000048968.1)
Source: RNAcentral
UCUUUCUUCAUACUUAUUCUUUGAAGAAGAGAGGAUGAGCUAAUGUGCUAAUACUUUUAGAUGGCUUGAAUGACAAUAUCACUUAUCAGAUCCACUUCAUCUGCUUUAACUCUGGCUGUUUCUUUGGCUGGGUGUAAAAUUAAAUUUAGUCUCUAGUAAUAGAAAUACUAUAUUUUAUGAGGUUUAUUAAGAUGAUUAGAAAUCAAGGAUACAAAAUAAUAAAACCACGUGUCUAUGGCUGAUUAGUCCAUUCACAUCUUACUCACUACAUCUUGCCAUCUCCAAGUAGAGGAAGAGAGAGGCCGAGGUAGGUGUUACAGCCAGUUUAAAUACAAAUUGUGAACUCGCCCAGGUGGGGACUCAGGUGAGAUUAUAGGAAAUUCUAGGAAGUACCAAAGACUUCUGGGGAUUGAAGUCUGGGGUUUAAAUCUCCAUUUUACAUGGGUAAGUAGAGAGGCAGUGUGAUAUAAUGGCUGACUUGGAAUUAGGAGGUCCUGAGUUCAAGUUCUACCUCUGAUUCGUACUCUGAUUCUAGGCAAAUUGCUUAAUUUAGUGUUGCUCAGUCAUUUUUUAGUCAUAUCCAAUUCUCCAACCCUAUCCCUAUUUGAAGUUGUUUUUUUUUUUUGGCAAAGAUACUCAAAUGGUUUGCCAGUUCCUUUUCCUUUUUUGUUUUUUUUUUAAACAGAUGACAAAACCAAGGAAAAUGAGAUUCAGGGUCAGAUAUUGAAUUUAAGAAGACGAAUCUUUCUGACUCCAGGUCUGGAGAUCUAUCCAUCAUACCACCUAACUGCCCUAACUUCUCAGUAACCCUACAGAGACUUCUGGAAGCCUCUGGAUGUCCAGCUGAACCUGAAGUUCCAAAGAAAACCCAACCAGAGAUUUCCAUGAGACAACCCUAACCUGCCAUGCUAAGGUAAGUCAAGAAGAAUAUUCACUUGUGUGUCCCACACUAUAAUAAGCCUCAAAGAACAUUGACUUG